Molecule: ribosomal RNA, 497 nt
Filed under: uncultured bacterium
Lineage: Bacteria
Description: partial 16S ribosomal RNA
Rfam family: Bacterial small subunit ribosomal RNA
Source: RNAcentral
GAUGAACGCUGGCGGCGUGCCUAAUACAUGCAAGUCGAGCGAACAGAUGAGGAGCUUGCUCCUCUGACGUUAGCGGCGGACGGGUGAGUAACACGUGGAUAACCUACCUAUAAGACUGGGAUAACUUCGGGAAACCGGAGCUAAUACCGGAUAAUAUAUUGAACCGCAUGGUUCAAUAGUGAAAGACGGUUUUGCUGUCACUUAUAGAUGGAUCCGCGCCGCAUUAGCUAGUUGGUAAGGUAACGGCUUACCAAGGCAACGAUGCGUAGCCGACCUGAGAGGGUGAUCCGCCACACUGGAACUGAGACACGGUCCAGACUCCUACGGGGAGCAGCAGUAGGGAAUCUUCCGCAAUGGGCGGAAGCCUGACGGAGCAACGCCGCGUGAGUGAUGAAGGUCUUCGGAUCGUAAAACUCUGUUAUUAGGGAAGAACAAAUGUGUAAGUAACUAUGCACGUCUUGACGGUACCUAAUCAGAAAGCCACGGCUAACUACGUG